UGCACUGUUGUUGUCCCCGCUUUUAAAUCAAUUAUAACACGAUUUUAUCAUUAAAUAUUGGAGAAUGGAUUUGAGAUUUCAUGGAGUGAUUUUGGGAGGAUACAUUUGUCUAGUUUAGCCCUGAAGAUGGAAAAAUACAUUUCCGAAACGUCGGCGAA
This is a long non-coding RNA of Coccinella septempunctata (seven-spotted ladybird), 158 nucleotides long. RefSeq lists it as uncharacterized. Lineage: Eukaryota; Metazoa; Arthropoda; Insecta; Coleoptera; Coccinellidae. The transcript has 2 exons. The record is from RefSeq and is a predicted model, not a curated record.